UGAUGAAUUAAUUUAUUACAACUUUUGCAUAAGGUUAACCAUCAAUCGAAUUGAUGAUUAAGCCCUUGAACGAUUCUCAAUCAUUGAUUAGCCACAUGAUCAGUCAAAAACUUUUUUUGAGUGUGAUUCCAUAGGUUUGAAUCUAAGCUGAUGGUAUAAAAAUAACUUUUUGAAUCAAUCGAUGUAAUCAUCUAGCAAUGGUGAUCCGACGUCCGG
RNAcentral lists this long non-coding RNA (216 nucleotides) under Elaeis guineensis (African oil palm). RNAcentral's name for it is "long non-coding RNA (EGUI_LNC076636)". Lineage: Eukaryota; Viridiplantae; Streptophyta; Magnoliopsida; Arecales; Arecaceae. The record is from RNAcentral.